CAGCCCUUGACAUCCCGGUCGCGGUUAGGAGAGAUCCUAUCCUUCAGUUCGGCUGGACCGGUGACAGGUGCUGCAUGGCUGUCGUCAGCUCGUGUCGUGAGAUGUUGGGUUGAGUCCCGCAACGAGCGCAACCCUCGCCUCUAGUUGCCAUCAUUCAGUUGGGCACUCUAGAGGGACUGCCGGUGAUAAGCCGAGAGGAAGGUGGGGAUGACGUCAAGUCCUCAUGGCCCUUACGGGCUGGGCUACACACGUGCUACAAUGGUGGUGACAGUGGGCAGCGAGACCGCGAGGUCGAGCUAAUCUCCAAAAGCCAUCUCAGUUCGGAUUGCACUCUGCAACUCGAGUGCAUGAAGUUGGAAUCGCUAGUAAUCGCGGAUCAGCAUGCCGCGGUGAAUACGUUCCC
Molecule: ribosomal RNA, 403 nt
Filed under: uncultured bacterium
Lineage: Bacteria
Description: bacterial SSU rRNA
Rfam family: Bacterial small subunit ribosomal RNA
Source: RNAcentral